GUGGGGUAAAAUUGUGAAUGUGCAAGUGUUUUGUGUGUAUGUGAGGUAAAAUUGUGAAUGUGCAAGUGUUUUGUGUAUAUGUGAGGUAAAAUUGUGAAUGUGCAAGUGUUUUGUGUAUAUGUGAGGUAAAAUUGUGAAUGUGCAAGUGUUUUGUGUAUAUGUGAGGUAAAAUUGUGAAUGUGCAAGUGUUUUGUGUGUAUGUGAGGUAAAAUUGUGAAUGUGCAAGUGUUUUGUGUGUAUGUGAGGUAAAAUUGUGAAUGUGCAAGUGUUUUGUGUAUAUGUGAGGUAAAAUUGUGAAUGUGCAAGUGUUUUGUGUAUAUGUGAGGUAAAAUUGUGAAUGUGCGAUCAUUUUGUUUGUGAGGUAAAUUGUGAAUGUGCAAGUGUUUUGUGUGUAUGUGAGGUAAAAUUGUGAAUGUGCGAUCAUUUUGUUUGUGAGGUAAAUUGUGAAUGUGCGAUCAUUUUGUUUGUAUGUGAGGUAAAAUUGUGAAUGUGCAAGUGUUUUGUGUAUAUGUGAGGUAAAAUUGUGAAUGUGCGAUCAUUUUGUUUGUGAGGUAAAUUGUGAAUGUGCAAGUGUUUUGUGUGUAUGUGAGGUAAAAUUGUGAAUGUGCGAUCAUUUUGUUUGUGAGGUAAAUUGUGAAUGUGCAAGUGUUUUGUGUGUAUGUGAGGUAAAAUUGUGAAUGUGCGAUCAUUUUGUUUGUGAGGUAAAUUGUGAAUGUGCAAGUGUUUUGUGUGUAUGUGAGGUAAAAUUGUGAAUGUGCAAGUGUUUUGCGUAUAUGUGAGGUAAAAUUGUGAAUGUGCAAGU
This is a long non-coding RNA of Myxocyprinus asiaticus (Chinese sucker), 802 nucleotides long. RefSeq lists it as uncharacterized. The transcript is spliced from 3 exons. The record is from RefSeq and is a predicted model, not a curated record. Lineage: Eukaryota; Metazoa; Chordata; Actinopteri; Cypriniformes; Catostomidae.